This 64-nucleotide transfer RNA is filed under the name Ctenisodes sp. 1 EF-2015. Its description in RNAcentral is "tRNA-Arg". The record is from RNAcentral. Lineage: Eukaryota; Metazoa; Arthropoda; Insecta; Coleoptera; Staphylinidae.
AAAUAAGAAACAAUAUUUGUAUUUAGUUUCGACCUAAAAUUUUGAUUAAUUUAAUCCUUAUUUA